CCAGCCUGCAAGGAGCACAGUAGUGCUUCAGAAGACUCUUCCCUUCUGACUGUUGCUUCUACAAGCUCAGUGGUAAGUACUCAAAAGCCCUUCACAGUACUGAAGCCAGCCUGAACCCUGUAACUCCUGGAACUCAGAGGRUGAAUUUGACCUCUGCAAUCUUCAAGGUAAGUAAGCAAACUUCAUUUGGUUUGGCAGGAUGGAUCAGGUGAGAAAUUGUUGCUGUCCUUUAUAAUAUCCUUCAGUUAACUGGAUGAGAAGGGGCUAUGUUGAUCCUCCUGUUCUGCAGUAGGAUUUUCAGUGCAUUGUGAAGAUCAAGCAUGUGAAGGUCACACACUCUGUGUCUCAGUUGUGUGUUUUUUACCUCUGGAGACAAAAACUUUUCAAAAAGGCAUGAUUGUGGUUAUUGCUACUUAUACUUCUG
RNAcentral lists this long non-coding RNA (424 nucleotides) under Dromaius novaehollandiae (emu). Its description in RNAcentral is "lncRNA (ENSDNVG00000017806.1)". Lineage: Eukaryota; Metazoa; Chordata; Aves; Casuariiformes; Dromaiidae. The record is from RNAcentral.